AGAGCACAAGGGGAAUGCCUUGGCACCGAGAGCCGAAGAAGGACGUGACUAACUGCGAUAAGCUGCGGGGAGCCGUAAGUAGGCUUUGAUCCGCAGAUUUCCGAAUGGAGCAAUCCGGCAAGAGGAAAGUCUUGUCAUCAUAUGCUGAAUACAUAGGUAUAUGAGGGGAACCGCCUGAACUGAAACAUCUAAGUAGGGCGAGGAAGAGAAAUCAACUGAGAUUCCGUAAGUAGUGGCGAGCGAACGCGGAAGAGGCCAAACCGAGAGUAGUAAUACUUUCGGGGUUCGGACAGAAUACGGUAUUGUAAAGGUUUAGUGGAAUGGAAUGGGAAGUCCAACCGAAGAAGGUGAGAGUCCUGUACACGAAAAGCCUGAACAGCCAUCUGUAUCCAGAGUACCGCCGGACACGUGAAACCCGGUGGGAAUAUGGGGGGACCAUCCUCCAAGCCUAAAUACUACUCGGUGACCGAUAGUGAAGAAGUACUGUGAAGGAAAGGUGAAAAGUACCCCUGACGGGGAGUGAAAAAGAACCUGAAACCUUGUGUUUACAAGCACCGAAAGCUCAUCAAAGAGCGAUCGGGUACCUUUUGUAGAAUGGUCCGGCGAGUGAAUGUAACCGGCGAGGUUAAGCACUUAAGGUGUGAAGCCGCAGCGAGAGCAAGUCUGAAUAGGGCGUAUGAAGUCGGUUGUAUUCGACCCGAAACCGGGUGACCUACCCAUGGUCAGGUUGAAGUAAAGGUAAAACUUUAUGGAGGACCGAACCGACUCCCGUUGAAAUGGUAGCGGAUGAACUGUGGGUAGCGGAGAAAUUCCAAUCGAACCCGGAGAUAGCUGGUUCUCCCCGAAAUAGUUUUAGGACUAGCCUCAAGUUAGAUACCUGGAGGUAAAGCACUGAAUAGCCUAGCGGCCGAGAGGUUAGCGAAGCUUAUCAAACUCAGAAUGCCAGAGUAUUGAUGCUUGGGAGUCAGACAGUGUCAGAUAAAUGUCAUUGUCAAAAGGGAAACAGCCCAGAUCUACAGCUAAGGUCCCAAAGUCAGGUUAAGUGGAAAACGAUGUGAAGAUACGCAGACAACCAGGAUGUUGGCUCAGAAGCAGCCACUCAUUCAAAGAGUGCGUAAUAGCUCACUGGUCGAGCGUCUUUGCGCGGAGAAUUUAACGGGGCUAAACCUGACACCGAAGCUUAGGCAAUCCAGUAAUGGAUUGGGUAGGGGAGCGUUGUAUACGCGGAGAAACAGUAGCGUGAGCGGCUGUGGAGUGUAUAGAAGUGAGAAUGCCGGAAUGAGUAGCGCGAAUGCAGUGAGAAUCUGCAUGGCCGAAAGCCUCAGGUUUUUGGAGGAAGGUUCGUCCGCUCCAAGUUAGUCGGGAGCUAAGGUGAGGCCGGAAGGCGUAGCCGAUGCACAGACGGUAGAGAUUCCGUCACCACCAAAAGAGUUAAGCACAGGGACACAUUUGAAGUCUCAGAGCCGGGUGUUGGUUCCGGUAGAGAUCGAGGGAAAUUAGUACCGAAGUCUGGGAUGGAGGAUGGCGAGAAAAGCUGUGUGUAUUUCUGAGGUGCCCGUACCGCAAACCGACACAGGUAGGUAGGAAGAAGAUUCUAAGGCCAACGGGAGAAGGGUUGUUAAGGAACUCGGCAAAUUGACCCCGUAACUUCGGGAGAAGGGGUGCUCCAGAGAUGGAGCCGCAGAGAAUCGGCCCAAGCAACUGUUUACCAAAAACACAGGUUUGUGCUAAAUCGAAAGAUGACGUAUACGAGCUGACGCCUGCCCGGUGCUGGAAGGUUAAGAGGAGAUGUGCAAGCAUUGAAUCGAAGCCCCAGUGAACGGCGGCCGUAACUAUAACGGUCCUAAGGUAGCGAAAUUCCUUGUCAGGUAAGUUCUGACCCGCACGAAUGGCGUAAUGAUUUGGGCACUGUCUCAACAGCCCGCCCGGCGAAAUUGUAGUACCGGUGAUAAAAUUGGGCGCAAAAAUACAAGGGUGACGGCAACACCGCGAAAGCCUAUCCGAAAACGGAUAGACUACACCCUUGUAAAUAGUUCUUAUUUAAUCUGAAAGCUUGACCUUGAGUGAAACCAGAGUAAACGUGCGGACAACCUCCGCGCAGGAGGGAAUGACCCUGCACGGGGCAUACCCGACCGCCGCGGCGAAAACCGCAGCAGCACCGGCAAGCCCAAUGCUCUUGAGCAGAUUUUCACAGACCUGCAGCUGGUGGCAGAUGGCGCAGUCCUCGCCGGAGCAGUUAUGGUUGGCUUCGACCGCAAUAUAGACAGCGGAGGACAGCAUGACAGCCGCCAGCACGGCUGCCAGCAAGCCUGUGAUCAAACGAGAUUUUUUGGUCAUAGCCUGUCCUCCUUCCGAAUGUUAUUCUUCCCUGCAAUCCGCGCAGGUGCCAUAGAGAACUGUGUCGGCGGCGUCCAGCGUGAAUUGCUCGCUCUGCGCCAGGUGCUUUGCAAACAGGGCGGCGUUGCCGCUUGCCAUGUGAAAGGUUCUGCCGCAUUUUACACAGCUCAUGUGCAGCGCACCCUUGCAGCUUUCGGCGUCAAGGUACUGAUAGUAGACCCCCCGCGUGCCGCUCUUGCUGCUGCGCCGCACUUUUUCUUCCGCCUCUAACUGUG
This 2612-nucleotide ribosomal RNA is filed under the name human gut metagenome. RNAcentral describes it as "bacterial LSU rRNA". The stretch from base 2 to 1937 matches the Rfam family "Bacterial large subunit ribosomal RNA", at positions 15 to 2044 of the family's 2925-position model. The record is from RNAcentral.